GAGAAAGCUAAAUUGUUCAAAGAGAACAAUGAUAAAAGGAACGCAAAACCAGAAAAAUCAAGAGUGGAGGAGGAGAACAAGUACUUGUAAGUUCUUUCUUGAAAUUGCAACUUCUUUCUUUUUUCAAGUGAAUUGAAAUUUAUUAAUGAGAAAAUGCAUACAGUAUAUUUGCAUUACUCUGCAUGGAAAAAAAAACUGCAGAAAAAGCAGACCUACAGCACACGGUUCAACAGAAUAAAACAAAUCCAUAACUAAAAAGAUGAAUUCAGCAGCACUAAGUGCUAAGCCAGCCAGCAAAUGUAGAGGCCAUUAUGUGAUAGUAAAAGGUAUACAUUGAUGAUUGUUUUGACAUAUCCAUUCAUUAAGACACUGAUAAAUAAUCAUAUGGAAUAUGGAUAGUAAAGCUACUCUUUACAAAAGUGGUUAUUAAUCAAAUGGCUCUUCUUCUUAUAUUUUUUCCUUGUUAUGGAAUGUCAACUUUGUA
Molecule: unclassified non-coding RNA, 484 nt
Filed under: Hevea brasiliensis (rubber tree)
Lineage: Eukaryota; Viridiplantae; Streptophyta; Magnoliopsida; Malpighiales; Euphorbiaceae
Source: RNAcentral